RNAcentral lists this ribosomal RNA (465 nucleotides) under uncultured bacterium. Its description in RNAcentral is "partial 16S ribosomal RNA". It matches the Rfam family "Bacterial small subunit ribosomal RNA", at positions 28 to 507 of the family's 1533-position model. The record is from RNAcentral.
GACGAACGCUGGCGGCGUGCUUAACACAUGCAAGUCGAACGGAAAGGCCCUGCUUGCAGGGUACUCGAGUGGCGAACGGGUGAGUAACACGUGGGUGAUCUGCCCUGCACUUCGGGAUAAGCCUGGGAAAAUGGGUCUAAUACCGGAUAGGAGCCAUUUUUAGUGUGAUGGUUGGAAAGUUGUUUCGGUGUAGGAUGAGCUCGUGGCCUAUUAGCUUGUUGGUGGGGUAAUGGCCUACCAAGGCGGCGACGGGUAGCCAGCCUGAGAGGGUGGACCGCCACAUUGGGACUGAGUUACUGCCCAGACUCCUACGGGGGGCAGCAGUGGGGAAUAUUGCACAAUGGGCGGCAGCCUGAUGCAGCGACGCCCCGUGGGGGAUUACGGCCUUCGUGUUGUAAACGCCUUUCGCUAGGGGCGAAGCGUUUUGUGACGGUACCUUGAUAAGAAGCACCGGCUAACUACGUG